UUUGGUCAUUUGGCAUUAAUCACUUGAAAAAUUAUUAGCAAACUUUCCUCAGAAAGCCAUAGCAAUCUAUUCUUUUGCACAGGAAAUAAUGAUCGGCAUCAUGAGGUUCCACCCUUAACGUCAUUGAAACCUUUCCAUUGGACUAAAGGUACUUUAGUUUAGUAAAAUGUUCUUCACAUCAUUAAAGUGCAUUCCUGACUCCAGCCGACCUCAGGACCCAUACAGGGGUUAAUAUUUAGAGGUUAAUAUUAAGAGCAGUAAUUACUGGCUCUGGUGAGUGUUUGGAGAAGGACCAGGAAACAGUCAAAACCAAAACAGGAUACUGCGAGUCUUCCAGGAAAACAGUUAUCAUUAGAGAGAGGGACUCGAAGGGUGACGUCCGACCUUCAACUCACAGUGGAUGUGUUUUGGACCAAUUGCUGAUCAGGAGAAAUGGAAGAGACUUAGUGCUGCUGCAGUCUUCAAUAAAGUGUUUCUCUGUUGAGUGCUGCAAGUCUGGAUGGAGUCCAAGUAAAACAACAAAAACACAAACAGCUGUUUACGCGAGGCUAAGAAACAGGACUUUGCAUGUAAUGUUCCUUGCCAGCUUGAUGAAAAGUCUCGAUUGUGGUGCAUACCUUCUUAAUAUGAGCUGCAGAGUAAACUGUAAACCGUGGGUCAAACAUCAGCAUAAGGAGCUCCAGAGAUCAAACUAAUCUGCUUGAAAGGGUGAAAGGUCACAGAUUUUGGAGGAAUCGACAGACUGAUGGUAAACUACACGCUUCAGUCACUAGCGUCUCUCUCUCUCUGCAUUCCUCUGGUGUUAGGUAAGAACCUCUCUUGCCAACCCAAGUAAAAUUAUGUUUUCAAAUUUCCAUGAUUCAACUUCCUCAUCCUGGUCAUCGAGUCCAUAUACGGCUAAUUUCCAUUUCCCUGAUGUAAUCAGCCUCUGCUUGUUGUAAAUGGUUCUCGGUGCUUUCAGAUUCAUAUCACGCAAGUAAAUAACUGCACGUCUGUAAAAAUUGUGGAAUUUGUGGUGUUCUGAUGUGUUUGUUUGAGUGAUACGAGAUCAUUUCGGUUGA
Carassius auratus (goldfish) is the source of this 1061-nucleotide long non-coding RNA. RefSeq lists it as uncharacterized. The transcript has 4 exons. The record is from RefSeq and is a predicted model, not a curated record. NCBI's taxonomy places the organism in Eukaryota, Metazoa, Chordata, Actinopteri, Cypriniformes, Cyprinidae.